This is a long non-coding RNA of Solanum stenotomum, 717 nucleotides long. RefSeq lists it as uncharacterized. The transcript has 4 exons. NCBI's taxonomy places the organism in Eukaryota, Viridiplantae, Streptophyta, Magnoliopsida, Solanales, Solanaceae. The record is from RefSeq and is a predicted model, not a curated record.
AUAUAUGUAAAAUAUAUUAUUUUUAUUUAUGAUAUAAAUAUAGUAAUUUGUAGCAAAGUCUAAUUGGGGUGAAAUAAGAAUAAAGCACAAAAAUACAUCCAUAUUCAUCCAACAGCAACAAAAAUGAUACAAAAGUGUAGCAUUUCAUGAAAUAUUUUCAUAUCUUAACCCUACUUACUGAAGCCGAAACCUGACCAAAACCAGAACCAGAACCAGAACCGCCGAAGUAGCAUGACGGCGCAACACCAAUUCAGACAAUGAAGCUUUUCCGUUAUAGAGAAGAAGGCUUCAUCUAUGGCAUCACUGACGGAAGAAUCACAUCUACCCAAAUCUUUUAUUUACUUACAAUUCAAAAAAUAGCAAAUCUAGGGUUUCUGGAAACAUAGAUGGGUGUUGUGCAAUUUGAUACAACUAAAAAUCGAUUUGUGGCAGCGGUUGAUGAUUUCUCAAUCAAAUUCUGGGAUAUGGAUCCCUUCGUCUUCCACCUACAGUAAAUCCAAUAUCUGUAGCAUCAGCAAACAAAUUCUGGAAUUGCAGAUAGGUGGCCUCUUUUGUUGGCAUCAGUGGAAUGGUUUGUAAAUUUAACUCCCAAAGAUAUCAAGGUUAAUAUAUACUAACUCUGGUGAUGCCAUCUCUGUAUUAGCAUCGAAUGCUAUUCACCUGCUUUGGAAGUGGCUAAGAAACGAGUGCAAUUCAGAGGGCAAGGCAACAACCAGU